Molecule: long non-coding RNA, 4999 nt
Filed under: Capsicum annuum
Lineage: Eukaryota; Viridiplantae; Streptophyta; Magnoliopsida; Solanales; Solanaceae
Description: long non-coding RNA (CANN_LNC004952)
Source: RNAcentral
AUGACAUGACCCUAGAUAGGAAGGUCUGGAAGACGCGAAUUACGGCAGAGGAUUAGGGCCAGUUCGGGUCGCUAGUGUAGGGAAUUAAUUGGUGGGGGUGUAUUCCUGUUAUGAUUCCGUAUUCAGUGUUUCGUGUUCCGUGUUCCAUGUUUAUUACGAAUCUGUGUGCUUUCCUCUGCUUUAUAUUCCUGCAUUCCUGCUUUACUCUGUUUUAUAUUCCUUAUGGGUGCCGUAUCUAUGUUAUGUCAUCUGCUUCUGUGCUGUACUAUGUGUUUGUGUGAUAUCUCGUGACUUGAGCCGGGGGUCUUUCGGAAACAGCCUUUCUACUUCAUCAGAGGUAGAGGUAUGGACUGCGUACAUCUUACCCCCCCCAGACCCCACUAAGUGGGAAUACACUGGGUUUGUUGUUGUUGUUGUUGUUGUUGUAUAUGUAUGUAAAAAUGGAAUCCUAUAAGAGGAAUAUAUAUGGUCAAAAGUAUCAACAUAAUUACAUAUACUCCUAAAAUAUAUGGGUUCUCCAAAAUACACCAGCUCUCAUGCACUUUUCAACUGCAUUGUUCCUAAGACCAGAAAGGUAUACUCCUCUUUUGACUAAUUGCACUCUCUCGGAAUUAUUAAGUGUAUUUAUUCCUCCUUUAAAAAUAGACGUUUUGUAUUGUUAGGUAGACGAUGAGUGGAGACUAUCGGUGUAACAAGAAUUACCUAAUACAUAAGAGGGAUUAAUUAAGACCAAUUUAUUGAUCAUGGAAUAAAUCAUUUAGCUAGGAUGAGUUUUAGCAGAGAACGAGAGGAGCAAUUUUACAUUGUGCCUCGUUUAUGCCUUUAUGGUACUACAAAAAUAGAAAAAUUAGUAUAUUUUUCACUGAGUAUUCAUAUAUUGUUAAUUUGAUAUGCUCAUGAGAUUUUUCAGUUUGUCUCGGUGUUGUUUAUAUUUUAUAUAUAAUAAGAGUGUUACUAUUUUAACUAAAAUUAUUCGAUUUUAGCGUCUUACUACGUGUAGGCGGCAAAUCAAUUCUACCCGGUGAGUCUCAUUCAAGGUUUGAAAUCGAAGUUCAUGGACUUCGUGAGAUCUCAAUGUCAAUACUGCAUUUUUAAAAUCACAUUUUUCAAAGUAAGAAUUUACUCUUUUGGUACUUUAAGAUUGAUGGACUGAAUCUUUGACACGACUCGAACCAGGGCCUAGCCGUGUCGGGUAUCUCAAAUCCAAUGAGGAUUUGAGGACCGGAGAUCACCCCCAAUACCCAACCGUUGACCACCCUACACCCUUUGUCGGAUGAAUUCCGAACAUAUAACAAGAUAAAACAAUAAUAAUUCAAGAACACUAAAUAAAGUCUAUAAUCGUAAUCCAACAACCUCUACUAAAUAUCCAACUGGUGCCAAACUCAAUGUCAAUACCAAUACUAAGGCUGACACCAAUACCGACACCGCCUAUGCCCAUAGUAGUCCGACAUAUUGUAGUACCCUGUACUUUUUCCUAGCUAAUUUCUUCUCAAGAAUGUCUAGUAUUAUCUUCUAAAUUGAAUGAUGUUUAUUCUAUGAGGAAUUUCCAAGAUUUUAAAUAUUUGUCAUGUGGGAAAUUCAAUAAGCUUUCCAUCGAUAUAAGAUUCGCCCAAAUCUGAUAACCGAGUUAGAAGUUACGACUAUUUUAAGUUCCUGUCGUAAAACAAUGCCAUAUAAGUCAGUGGCACGCUGCGCUACAAGCGGAAAUGACAUUUGGCAAAUUCCAGUAUGGGUCUGAGAUUAUGGCGCAUCGCGCCAGGUCCUAAAUUUAGAAUUGUCCUUUUCCAGUGUCUUAGCGCGAUUUCCUCCGCGUCGCGCCAAAGCUGCAGGUCACAAAAGAAGGGGCAACGCGAUGGCUCCGCGUCGCGCUAUCCCUCAAUUUCCCAAUUGUCAAUUUCCAGUGACACGGCGCGAUAACGCUGCGUUGCGCCAGGGGCCCAGUUUGGGUAAAUUUAAUUGAAAUUAAAUGACGCGUCCAGGGUUAAAAGGGUCAAUUUUUUACCCCUAUUUAAACCCAAUAUCACGUGAUUUAGUCAUUCUUUACCCAAAAUAUACUAUUUUCUCUCAAGUUUCUUUCAAGAACAAGCUAGGGUUUCUACUGGGGAUUCAAAUUCAAGAAAGUUUCACCAUCAAUCUUCACAAAAUCACGAACCAAGGUAUGCGUAGUGUUCAUUCAUGGACUCCUUUCGUCCAUGAAGCCCAAGAAUUUCUUUUCUAAGUUUAAGUUUAUGGAUUUAUUUAUGAAUUUCAUGUUUGGUUUGUCUUGUUUAUGUUGAGAAUAAUCAGUUGAAUUCAAAUCCAUGUUGGGUGAUCAAUUUUAUUUGGAAUUGAUUUGUAUAGACGUAUAUUCAUGUGAACCUAUGAAUAAACCCUAGGAUGAUGAAAUUAGAGAUGAAUCAUGAUGAUUAAUUGUUGUAUAAUGUUGUCUAUAUGUGUUAUGCCUACCAUGUGUUUGAGUAAAUUCCUAGAUGAAGGACCAAUGCCCAACUAGUAUGAUAUCAUGAAAUCCCCAUGUAUGUACAAGUUAUGCCCAUCACAUGUUUUGAUGGAAUGCUUCUAUAAAUGCAUUAUGGAUUAUGAUAUUAUUUAUAUGUUCAAGUAAGUUAUGCUUGGUCAGUUUCCUUCCAUCGAGCCCUAGGGGUACUUGUACCCGAAACAUUAGCUGUGUGCUUAGAGCCAUGUCAUGUUUCCACGAUACUCUUAGUCAAGUUAUGAAUUCUUAGACUUUAAACAGUCGUAUGACUUAGGAAAUUUCCAUGAUCUCAUGGACUCAGUCAGUUGUCAGAUAUCAGUAAUAUUCUAUCAGUCAAUGGAAUUCAGUAACUCAGUCCAUGUUUAGUUCAGUAAUUUUGUUCAGUGUCUAUUCAGAUGGGAGUAGAAAUUAGCACUGAGUGAACCUAAGGAUGGGAACUCACCUAUCAUAUAAGGGUGUAAUUCUUAGAAGCAAUCAUUGCGUUCCAGAACUAUGUAGCGAGCAUAGGUUGAGACAUCAUAGCCUGCUAUAUGAGGGUAGAUAAGGUGGCUUAGCCUGAUAUAUGAGGGUUCCCACCAUUCUCACUAUAGUUACUAGUUAUAUUAGGGUCACUCACAUAUUGUCUUUACCAGUGGCGCGGUAUUGACACCCUUUCAAUCAGGGCAUAAAUUGGACCCUAAUUCAGCUAUAAUGCAUUAUUUGGGGUAUGUCGGUUAGAUGACUACCUCCCAUAGUCUCAAUAUCAGUCUUAGUAAAAGAACACAAAUAGUUUUUCAGAAUUCAGGGCUAUCAGAUACAGUCAACUUAGACACAGUACGAAACUCAGAUAGUUCUAUCAGAUUUAGGGCUGUCAGAUAUAGUCACUCAUAUUAUCAGUUAUAUUUAGAUUCAGUAAUCAUGUUAUCGCAGUAUUAGUGUCAGUUGUUAUAUCCCACACAUGUAUUCUCAUGCUCAUGAUAGUUAGUCAGUUAUUAUUAUUGUUCAUGCAUAUGAACCCCAUGCAUUUAGCCUACCUCACAUGCAUACCAGUACAUUCAAAGUACUGAUGCAUUUACACUAUGGUGUCUUAUACCAUAGGUUCAGAGACACGAGCUCCAGAUCAGCAGUAGAUACCAGUUUCAGCAGUCAGAGUUAGAAGUGAGUCCUCAUUAUUAAGGACCUGAUUAUUCCCCAUUAUCUCAUUAAGUAUUUUAUUAGUUGGAGUUAGUUGGGGACAUGUCCCAUCAACUCCUUAUUCAGAUUAUUCAGACAGUAGAUAUUUUCAGACUAGAUGUAGACAAUCAUGUUUUAGAAUUCAAUGUUUACAGUUUUGUUUUAGGUAUUGUAUUACCCCACAAAUGUUAUCUCAUCCAUGUUAUGUUCAGUAUUGAACCUUUUGGCCUUUCAGCGCAUGUUUCUGCAUUAUUUAGUAAUUUGUGUAGUAUAUAAGUACAAAUAUCAGUCAUGGUUUAGCUUGUGGUCCUUCGGGGUCAUGAGCACCGUGUAGCGUUCCGGGUAACAGAUUCAGGGCGUUACACAAAUCCUCUAAUUAGAAUCAAGUAACAUCCGAUCGGGACAUAUCCCCAACCAUAGACAAAACUGAAAUCCAAGAAAGAACAAUAAAUAAAAGAAAUAUAUUACAUGAAAUGGAGCCUUCCGAACUAUGGAAGCUCACCCCUUCAAUCUGACUCAAAGCUGUCCCCGAUUCUAAGUCACUAAGAAGGAGGAAUAAUAGUAUGAUCGGUUCCUGCAUCGCGUAGGGAUACCACGCCCAAAGACGGUUAGCGGAGUGAACGCUAGCAUGUACUAAGGUAUAAAGAUAAAAUAAUGCCAUAAUUCAAAACCAAAUCUAAUAACCAUAUAUAAUCACACAUAUACAUAUAUACCGUACCGUGAUAGGAAAUUGGGUUUAGCAUGUAUUUAAAAACUUAACCUAGGUUGAGUAGAUUGACCAAUCCUAAAAUCACCCAUGGGUUAUAUGGGUUCAGCUCCCCCUGCUGAAAGGGAAUCCGUGCGUGUUAGCCGCACGAUCGGAGAAAAAAAACUAAGAUGACUAGUACAUCUCUAUAACACCUCGAUUUUCUAAAUUGAAAUUCUACAUGAUGCUUAUGACCCCGAAGGACCACAAACUAACCCAUGAAUUAUAUUUGUACCUGUAUAUUGUAUAAUAUAACAUAAAUAUGCGGAAACAUGUACUAAAUGGCCAUAAGGUUCAACUGAAUAAACAUUUGACAAGAACAAUGUCUGAAAAUGGUAUAACCAUACCAAAACAAAUCUGAAAUAACUGUCUAACAUGCUAUAGUCUGGAAAGCCUCUAAACUGUCUGAACAAGGAGUUGAUGGGACAUGUCCCCAACUAACUCCAACUACUAAAAUAAACUGAAAACUUAAAUAGUAAUGAAAUCAACGUGUCCUCAAAAGAUGAGGACUUAUUUCUAACUCUGACUGCUGUUACUAGAAUCUACUGCUGAUCUGGAGCUUGUGCCUCUAAACCUAUGGUGUAACAUAAGAGAAAGAACCAUAGAGAAAAUAUGUCAGUACGACUGAA